RNAcentral lists this long non-coding RNA (729 nucleotides) under Oreochromis niloticus (Nile tilapia). RNAcentral describes it as "lncRNA (ENSONIG00000040273.1)". Lineage: Eukaryota; Metazoa; Chordata; Actinopteri; Cichliformes; Cichlidae. The record is from RNAcentral.
AUGAAUUUGUGGGGCUUUUACAUGCAGAUGGUGGAAUGGAACUCAGGACCUUCUUGCUGUGCGGCAACAGUGCUAACCACCGUGGGACCGUGCUGCCCCAAAUUCAUGCCAGCUGGUUCAGUCCUAACUGCCUAUAAGGUCAUCAGAAGGAGCUGUUCACACAGGCAUGAAAUGCCCUCGACCACACCAAUAACCUGCAUGGUUACAGCCUUUGGAAGGUGGGACAUGAGACACAACAGGAAGGUUAUGUUUCAACCUGAAAGACAGAAGAGAUUAUGAUUGUAAUAAAGUUUAUAAGAAGAGUUUUCCUUUUAUAAUCCAUUGUCAUUGUUUCUCUCGUGCUCCAGUAGCCCCAGUCAGUCAGCCUCACUGUAUGGAGCUAAAUGCCAGUAAUUACUGUUAUGUCUAUUCUCCUGAAGUCAUAGCAUCACAGUAAUUUGUUUUGUAUGUUCAGAAGCUUUGUGCUUGGGAUAUAAGUUGCCAUUUCUGCACUAAACCAUCUACAAUCCUGAGUCUGUACAUCCUGUGAGUGUUUGGUUCAAGGCUUCAGUCUACAGUCAGAGUCAGGUCCUCAUCCUCAGCCACAACAGUGGUUGUUACUGUCUAUCGACAUUUAAGUAUGUUGACUGUUAUUUGUUUCAUUUCACUUCUGUGUAUCUCUUCUCCCUCUGUGUGAAAGGUGGUCAUCAAUAACCCACAUAGCAAGCAGGUCUGGCCCGUAUCUGGCAA